AGAGUUUGAUCCUGGCUCAGAUGAACGCUAGCGGCAGGCCUAAUACAUGCAAGUCGAACGGUUAUAGGGAUUAGCAAUAGUUUUUAUGAUAGUGGCGCACGGGUGCGUAACGCGUAUGCAACCUACCUUCAAGUGGGGGAUAACUCUGGGAAACUGGAAUUAAUACCGCAGAAUAUAGUAAUGCUUCGUGGUGUAGCUAUUAAAGAUUUAUCGAUUGAAGAUGGGCGUGCGUGACAUUAGUUAGUUGGUGAGGUAACGGCUCACCAAGACUUCGAUGUCUAGGGGUUCUGAGAGGAUGAUCCCCCACACUGGUACUGAGAUACGGACCAGACUCCUACGGGAGGCAGCAGUAAGGAAUAUUGAUCAAUGGACGCAAGUCUGAACCAGCCAUGCCGCGUGCAGGACGAAGGCCCUCUGGGUUGUAAACUGCUUUUGUAUAGGAAGAAACGCUCCGACGUGUCGGAGUUUGACGGUACUAUAAGAAUAAGGAUCGGCUAACU
RNAcentral lists this ribosomal RNA (500 nucleotides) under uncultured bacterium. RNAcentral's name for it is "bacterial SSU rRNA". It matches the Rfam family "Bacterial small subunit ribosomal RNA", at positions 8 to 502 of the family's 1533-position model. The record is from RNAcentral.